UAUACAGCGAAACUGCGAAUGGCUCAUUAUAUAAGUUAUCGUUUAUUUGAUAGUGCCUUACUACUUGGAUAACCGUGGUAAUUCUAGAGCUAAUACAUGCUAAAAACCCCGACUUCGGAAGGGGUGUAUUUAUUAGAUACAAAACCAAUGCCCUUCGGGGCUCUUUGGUGAUUCAUGAUAACUAUACGAAUCGCACGGCCUUGCGCCGGCGAUGGUUCAUUCAAAUUUCUUCCCUAUCAACUUUCGAUGUUUGGGUAUUGGCCAAACAUGGUUGCAACGGGUAACGGAGGGUUAGGGCUCGACCCCGGAGAAGGAGCCUGAGAAACGGCUACUACAUCCAAGGAAGGCAGCAGGCGCGCAAAUUACCCAAUCCCGACUCGGGGAGGUAGUGACAAUAAAUACUGAUACAGGGCCCUUUCGGGCCUUGUAAUUGGACUCACUCCCAUUUAAAUCCCUUAACGAGGAACAAUUGGAGGGCAAGUCUGGUGCCAGCAGCCGCGGCAAUUCCAGCUCCAAUAGCGUAUAU
Molecule: ribosomal RNA, 526 nt
Filed under: uncultured eukaryote
Lineage: Eukaryota
Description: SSU rRNA
Rfam family: Eukaryotic small subunit ribosomal RNA
Source: RNAcentral